Molecule: long non-coding RNA, 7332 nt
Organism: Mus musculus (house mouse)
Lineage: Eukaryota; Metazoa; Chordata; Mammalia; Rodentia; Muridae
Product: predicted gene 43000
Exons: 2
Source: RefSeq, a predicted model, not a curated record
GAUGAAUGGGCGAGCAUGGCUGCUUCAUACAGCCUGUGUUAUUUUACAUGCAGGUUCACAUAAACAAAUGCAUGAACAUAAAAGCCAGGGGCCCGCCUGACUGUCUUUUAAAUACAGCCCACAGGAUCAUUUAUCUCACAGCUGUUCCAGGGCAGAGUUUACUUAACAAUCAAAAGCUGUCAAAGCAAAUACAUUAACUUGCAAAUAAGACAAUAACUCAGUCUCUGAAGACCAGAAACAAAGAAGACCGCAAGCUUAGCUCGCCUCCAGUGUUUGUGUUCUUUUCUUCCUGAGCAUGAUGCAAUGGAGAACCAGGAAUAAAACCUUCAAACAGGAAUUGGGCCUGCCAGAUUAUGCUAAAAGAAGAAGAGUGACACCGGAGGACAGGGAAAGAUUCAGAGUGCUCAAAGGAAAGGUAAGGAACCAAGAGGGACCAUGCAGAAGGCGGGAGCAAGAGUCAGAAGGAGCAGAGAAGAGGCAAAAAAACAACAACCCAGGGGGCUGGGGAGAUGGCUCAGCAGUUGAGAGCACCAGGUACUCUUCCAGAGGACCCUGGUUCAGUUCCCAGCAGCCACAUGGAAGCUCACAAGGGUCUGCAACUCCUGCUCCAGGGGAUCUAACCCCUCCCACAGGCAGACAAACAUGCGUGCAAAGCAUCAAUGUACAUGAAAUAAAAAUAAGUUAUAAAAAUAAGAGAGAGAGAGAGACUCAAAAUAAAGGGACUGUUUGAAAACUGAAUAUAGCAUUUGCCAUAAAUGAAGAAACUUUGCAAAAUGUAGUGACUCUGGCCUUUAUACAAAAAUUGAGAAACUGAGGCAGGAGAGUUGCAAAAUAAAUAUUUCAAGUUUAUCCUGAACAUUUUUAAAGGGCUUUUUACAAAAACAAACUGUAAAUAAUACACUAAUACUUAAUUAAACUAUAAACUUUAACUUUUAACAUCUGUAGUUAAUAGUACUAUAGAUUAAAAUAUGAUAGCAUCCGUAGUAACAUGAACGUAUUGUGUAUUUUUGUUUAUCCUGUUGUAUUCUGGGAGUGCUAGGCAAGAUGGCUACCACUAAACCACCCUCCCUAGCAUUUUUGGUUUAUUUUAUUCCAAGCUAUGAAAUCAAUUCUUCUACAGGGCUCUGUUUUUAUUUAUAACAAAAGUAAUUUUUGUUUACACUCAGUAUAUUGCUAGGGAAAAUAAUAUCAAUUGAUUGUUUUACCCAUGGAUACAUCUUUCAGUGUGGAUAAGGGAUUCAAGCAACACUGCUUUGCAUUGAACAAAGAAAGAUCAGACUAGGUGAUAGUUCAUAGUAACUCUUAGGUUGGUCACUACAGAGCCACAGACUUCAAUAUUUAUGUCUCUGUUUCACUGUAGCUAUGUUUAACAUAUCCAUAAAAGAUGCUUUGAUUAUUGAUUUGCUGGGCACAUGAGAGUACUGUACAUACGCUAGACUUCAUGCACGACUGUCCACCUUUCCCUGUCUCUGGAGGCAUCCUGGUUGGCUAAUAAGCAGAGGCCUACGUAAGGGAUGAGACUCUACAGAUGGAUCUGCAUAGUCAUACCAGUUACCUUUCCCUUUAACAAAAUGACUGACCAGAAUCUAGUAAUCAAGCUAGCAUGGGGAAGGGCUUUGGCAUCUUCUAUAAUUCUGUCUGAGGUGUCUUUACUUCCUAGCACCCAGCAAAUAACCUAGGGAAAACUGAGCGCUAAGAUUCUCAUAGGGCACAUAGACCAACUGAUAAGAAACUGCAGAUCUCACCCUCCUCCUGAUAGCUAAGAGGCACAGGUUUGGAGGUCUGCUGGUGUAGACUACCCUUUGGGAAGAAGAUUCACUUUCCAAAAGUAUAGAUUUUUGCCCCAAUUGAAGAAAAGUGUUUUCUUGAUUGUAUCUAUUCUUUCUUCUCUGUCAUACCCUAAUACUGGUUGCUGUGUUUCUUCCCUUUCUUUUUUCCUUAGUUCAACUGUCAACAUCUCAGAGAAGCAUUCCUGACCACAAAGGCAUUUGGCUUUGCCUUAGGAGUCUCCAAGUUAGACUUUGAUUAUUCUCCAAACCCUCAAAAAAACAUUGCAGUAGUUUAUUUAUUUGUUUUCUGUCUGUUACUUUCAGUGGCAUGUAAGCACUGUGCAGGAAUAUUUCAUCGAAAUGAAACAUACUCAGAUUUUACACUGGAAUGAAAUAGCUGGCCUCCCAAAUAAAAUAUUAACUGAAUACAUAAAUAAAUGGCUCCAUGGAGGUAGCAAGAAGAAUAGGCAAAUCGGUGUGCAAGCAAGAUGUGAUGGAAAGAGUUUUGAUUGGAAGAGUAGUGUCUAAUAACUUCAUUUUAUUAAUUAAAUUGGCUAAUAAAAUGGAGAAUGAAUAAAAAGAGCCUGUGACACAAAUACUCUAAACUUCUCUUUAAGUUACCUAGAAAAGAUAUUUCUAUUUCAAAUGUCUGAAGUUUCAUACCAAACACCCAUAAAGUAUUUCAGUUCUAUCUGGAGUAAGAAACAGACAAAUGGACCACAUUUUCUUGACAAAGAAACUUCGAAAAUCCAGGGACAAAUGUGCACUAGCAACUUCAAUGUAACCAAAGACUGGAGACUGCUGGCUUUGCCCCUAAGACCAGCUUUGGAUCAGCCACAUGCUAACUCGAGAGGCUACCUACAGAGACUUCACUGCCAGCUUCAUCUUUAAUUAUGAGAACACUCCUGAACAUUUACAGAAACUUGAACCCACAGCACUGUACAUUUAAUUAUCUAAAAAAUUAGAGAGAAAGAUAAGUGUUAAGAUUCCUCAGAGAAACACAACUAAUAUAUACAUGGAUGGUGCUGUUUAAUGUUGUGUCUCUGACAAAAUUAAUUUUUAAAAUCUAUAUGCUCUAUGACACAGAGCUGACUUCUCAAUCAAAAUCAUAAGCAGAAUUAGAAUGGUUUAAACUAUAUUUGAAACUGUAUAGAAUUUCUAUCUUUAAAUGUAGGGUUUCUUAAGAUACCAAAAACAAAUGAAAUAUAAAUUGGGAACAGAGUACAUCCUAGAAUAAUUAGUUAUAGUACUAACCUACCAUUUAGCUUCCUUCCCUAUUAGAAAAAAAUAGCUUUUCAUUGAAGUUGCUAUAACCAGUGGCUCUACUCAUUGUUCUAUAUCAUAUUACUAUUCUUCAGACCCUUUGUUAGCAAAAAAUAACAUGUUCCCCCAAAACACUCAAUAUACCUAUAGAUUAAGUGAUUGUGGAAGCUCGGUUUUUCCCAAAGCAAGCUUUGGUCAUUAUGAUUCAUUUUUACAUAUUAAUUUUUCUAUGCUGUUAACUUCCUUUUUAAAAUUGUUACAAAGCCUCAUACAUUAUAUAUAAUUGUAUCAAAACACAUCAUAUUGCCAUGUAAAUUGGAUUGUCAAGUAAAAUGUAAUAAUCUUUGACCUUACCCCAGCCAUUGACAUCAAUUUAAAAAAAAUAUGCCUACAGGCUUUUAAACCAUACAACUUCCUAAUGUAAAGAACAUAUCUCUUUAGAAAAUUCCCUGUUACAAGUCUCUUACUACCUGUUUACUGUGUACAAAAUUGUGAUCGCUGUUACUCACUUUUAAAAGCCCAUGCAUAUACAUGUGCACAUAUAUGUAUACAUAUAUAGCCUACAAUUAAGUAUAGUGAUGGUAUUAUUUUGAAAAUGUGUUGGUUCAUUUUUGCUUUAAUGUGCACAUAUAGGGAAAAGAAGUUACACAUUUUCAAAUAGCCUCAAUCCUCUCAGAUAAGACAAUUUAACAACAGAGAGAGAGAGAGAGAGAGAGAGAGGAGUAUUUCCCAUGGGAGGCCCUCCUUUUGUUGCAUCUAGAGGUUGACAAGGGUCAAUUCACAGGAAAGCAGACAUAAGUGACAUUCAAGGCAAACCAGCUCCAAUAUAGCUCACUUCCCAGGAGAACAUUACACUUCUCUAAGACACUGCAAAUGUUUUAAGGACAGAAAAGCACAAUGCCUGUCAAAGUGUCUUGUGUAUGCUAAAAAAGACAGGGAAUUUAAGGAAAGUCUUUGACAUUUAACAGAGAAUCAUGCUUCCACAAUCUCCCCUCCUCCAACUUGACACCUAAUUAAGCAUCAAUACAAAACAAUGUAAUGGAACAGAUGUACUAGCCAUUAGCAGGAAUUACCCACUCUCCUAUCAAAUCAGAGUAUACAGAGAGGGCUCUAUUUGUAAUAGGUUGACUUAAUUGCCUGAGCAUUCCCUGGGGAAAUGGACAGAUAGAUCAGGACAUGUCACACAUGCUCACCCACAGACUCGUUUUGUCACCCACCCCUCCUCCACUGGGAUCCACACCUUUGUCAUUGAUACAUUCAUCUUUUCUAAUGAGAGCCGAUAGUGGCCGCGAAUCAGCUAUACAACAUCAAAUGGUUAGAUAAAAAAAAAAAAAAUAGAAAAAAGUAUACAAAAGUAGGAUUUAUUUUUAACGAUAGUUCAAUAUUUUUUCUAUAUGCCAGUGCUUUCCAUAAUAUAGAUAUUUAGGUUUUUAAGUAAAAAUAUAGUAAAAUAAACAAAAAUAUUCUUUAAAAAAUGUGAAAAUGGGGCAGCAGAGAAUUAUAUAUUCUGGAAAUUUGCUGUGAUUCAUAACUAUUGUAGUUUCACAAUUUGUGAAUUAAAUGUCUUACAUGAUUAGAGGCAGCUCAGGAAUUCUGAAAUGAGAAAACCAACUCUCCUCCUGAAAACCUAAAACAAUUUAAUAUCUUUGUGUCCCUCAAAUGAAAAUCCAUUUUGGUCUUGAAUACAAUAUCUGUUGAGUGCAGUAACUCAGAAUACUCCUAUGAAACCUUUUAACAAAGUCACUUGUCAAGUAGGAAAUAAAAGAUUUCUAUAAAAGGUUAAAGAAGUAGCUAGAUUUAGAAUGUAGAAUGCUGGGUUCAGGGACUCAGCAGGUAAAGGCACAUGUCUUUUAAUGCCUGGAGAGGUGGCUUAAUCCGCAGGACCUUUAUGAUUGAAGUAGAGAACCAACUAACAAGUUAUCCCCUAACCUCCACAAUCACACCACAGUAUACAUGUGUCCCUCCUCACACAACAUAAAUGAUGAUGAUAGAUAGAUAGAUAGAUAGAUAGAUAGAUAGAUGAUAGAUAGAUAGAUCAUACAUUCAUUUAUACAUACAUACAUACAUACAUACAUACAUGGAGAUAGAUAAUAUAAAUAUGAAACAAAUUAAGGAAUAUAAGAUUUAUUCUUAAGGAUAUUAAAUUGGAUUUUAAUAUCUACAGUUAAAGCAGAUGAAAACUGUUAUUCCUAACUGGAAUCACAGACAGGAAGAAAACACAGGUACAGGAAUCCACCUUUAAAACUGCAUUUUUCAAGAGAGAGAAUGAGUUGAGUUUAUUCCUUAUCUAUUCUGUGACACAGAGAUCUGUGAUAGACAAAUUCAGGGCACUGCCACAAGUCCUAUUUCAGGCCCCUGGAGAUUUAGAAAGCAAUGGUGGCUGACUGCCUGUCAGGAUCUUAAGGGAGGGGGAAUGCCGGGGAUGGUUUCUUAUCACGUUAGCCCCUGAAGAAAUUCCCAAGUCCUAUCAACACAUGUAGAGAGGCAGGUUCCCAGAGCACAUAUCCAGCUACCUCAGCACAAAUAAGGGAAGGGCCCGGGGUUCAGUUGCCUCUCCAACUCUCCGGUAUAAGAUGAACCAAGAGGCUGCCUGCACUCAACUGUGCCCUCUCCAUGACACACCACACACAGCAUAAAUGGGACGCCUAAGUGCACACUGCUUUUAGUGCUUCACAGAGUCUGUGGUUCAAAGCAUUGGCAUCAUAAAUGUAAUGACUUCUUUGUGUUUAUUCUCCACAAGGUGCAAAUUUUUGCGGGUAUAGCAUGUGCUUUUUCUGUAUGUAGCGACAUGCUUUGUGCUCCCUAAAUAUUAUUUAUUUCAUUGUAGGUUGUCUUAAUUGCCUACAGCUCCGAACAGCAUGUCUGCAAUGUCUCUGGGCUGAAAAUCAGUUUACUGGUGAUCGCCUCAGGCUCCCCUGGCUCCAUGAAGCAGCUUAAUGACUGAAAACACACUGGCUGCCCAUCAAGGGGAUAAGACGACCCAUCACUGUGCUCUCUGUCAGAGAGCGUUGGCAGUACAGAAAAUAAUGUCAUGAAGGGGCUCUUUGGGGCCUCCAGCACAGCGCCUCAUGAAAAAUAUGAGAAAUCCAUAUUUCUUUCAAAAAUUGGCUGAUGUUUUAUAAUUCACAAGGUUUAGAAGGGGGUAAGAAAUACGGUAAGUCUCAUACUGCCAACUGUAGUUUUAAACCCCAUCAAAUAUAUUUCUAAAUUACGACAGCCUUUUAAUGGACUAGCUUCCAUCUUCGUAAAGGUCUUAAGCUGCUCAGGACACUGGUCACUUACACUAGCGAAGAAGCAAGCCUGCAUGCCCACAGCACCACUGUUAUCAUAAGGAUGAAGCAUCCUGGAUUCUGACAGUGAGUCUGUAACACUCAUAGUUUACAAUAUCUGUUGUCUUUGAUUUGCUUCCCAAAAGAAAAGGUCACGCUAUACUCAAAGUCAAACAACCAAAGCAAAAAAAAAAAAAAAAAAAAAAAAAAAAAAAAAAAUCCAUCCUUUGUAUAUGAACUCUAUCUUCUUUGCACAGUAAACAAACAACAGAUAUUCCAAAACAUCGGGCAUCUUAUUAAUUCAGAAGGGCCAGUAGAGGCUCAAGUAUUCUCACUUUGAAAAGAGCAACCCCGUGUUUCUUUUCCACAUAUACACCUCUAUAUCUAAUGUGUUAGAAUAUAUGGCUUAGAGCUUUGAAUCUGCUUGCACUUGGCUAUUUCCCUGGGAUUUUUCCUUCCUCCUUUCUUCUCAAACAUUGACAAAUACAAUAUUCUGCUUUUAACAGCAUUCUAGCCAACAAUUGAUGAAAAUGAGUUGUUCUGAACAAUGCUGGUUUAGAGACAAUGGAGGAAAGCAGAGGGAAAAUUAAUAUGAUUUUAGCACAAAUGCUGAGCGAUGAUUGGAGGCUUAUUAAUCCUUUACCACGUAAAAAGUUUUCCACCAUUCAGUAUGCUAGAUUAAUGGCAUGCAUUUGACCAUAAAUGAUAUAUGCUGCUUGCCUACUUCUAACUUAUGCUCUAAUGCAAAUAUUAUCGAUUGAACCUUCUUGUGUAGUAUCUCUCUCUCUCUCUCUCUCUCUCUCUCUCUCACACACACACACACACACACACACACACAGACAUACAAACAAAACCAAAGGUUACCUUAUUUCCACUGAAGCUAAUCCAUCAUGCAAAUCUUGUCAAAGAAAUUCUAUAGACUGUACAAAAUUGCCAGGUUAUAUUCUAAAUAAAAAUUUAUUCUUCACUAUCUAGGUCAUACUGUCAGUUGUUAAUAUCUAACAUCUAUUCUUUCACAAAAUUAAAAAAAA